UAGGGAAUCUUCCGCAAUGGACGCAAGUCUGACGGAGCAACGCCGCGUGAGUGAAGAAGGAUUUCGGUUCGUAAAACUCUGUUGUUAGAGAAGAACAGCGCAUAGAGUAACUGUUAUGCGUGUGACGGUAUCUAACCAGAAAGCCACGGCUAACUACGUGCCAGCAGCCGCGGUAAUACGUAGGUGGCAAGCGUUGUCCGGAUUUAUUGGGCGUAAAGCGAGCGCAGGCGGUCAAUUAAGUCUGAUGUGAAAGCCCCCGGCUCAACCGGGGAGGGUCAUUGGAAACUGGUUGACUUGAGUGCAGAAGAGGAGAGUGGAAUUCCAUGUGUAGCGGUGAAAUGCGUAGAUAUCACACAGAACUCCGAUUGCGCAGGCAGCGUACUACAUUACAACUGACACUGAAGCACGAAAGCGUGGGUAUCAAACAGG
This 429-nucleotide ribosomal RNA is filed under the name Bacteroidota bacterium. RNAcentral's name for it is "Bacteroidetes bacterium partial 16S ribosomal RNA". It matches the Rfam family "Bacterial small subunit ribosomal RNA", at positions 355 to 776 of the family's 1533-position model. Lineage: Bacteria; Pseudomonadati; Bacteroidota. The record is from RNAcentral.